AGGCCCCAGCAGCAGUUAUCUGGUGUGGAUCGGUACAAAAAUGGAGGGAGCUGCUUCUGAAAUGACCUCCCCUGUGGAGUUUAAAACAAGGGGAAUUGUACGUGUCCUUUUGGAGAGAGCAAGCUCACGUGAACCCAGCUGUGUUACCAUGAAGAGCAACAAGUCAAUGAUGGAACCAGUCACCCUCAGUGAGGGACCUUCUCCAUCAGCUCAUUGACCGUCCUGUUUGAAGAUACUCGAAUAAGACAGGAACACUGUCAGGGUCGUGUUGUGAAGAACAUUGUGAUUUAUGGUAAAACGACUGUUACAGCCACUAGCAUGCAUGUCUCUUUGGGUCUAUAGUCAGGCCAUAAUAUAA
This is a long non-coding RNA of Brienomyrus brachyistius, 358 nucleotides long. RefSeq lists it as uncharacterized. The transcript is spliced from 3 exons. Lineage: Eukaryota; Metazoa; Chordata; Actinopteri; Osteoglossiformes; Mormyridae. The record is from RefSeq and is a predicted model, not a curated record.